AAAUUUUUUCUUGAAUACUCUCUCUCUCUCUGUAAACAUUAUGCAAUAUAUCUUGAAAUAAAGCUUUACUUUUGUAAGUUCCUUUAAUCUUUCUUCUAAUUAUACUUUCUAUUCCGCAAAUAGAUUCAAAAUGGUAUCAAAGCCAUGUUAAUGGCGUAAGUUGUUAGCAUGAGUAGCUAAAUCUUUAGGUUGUCUAGGCUGUUAGAAAUCAUGUGAUUAUUAAGAUGAUAAAAUUAUCUUAACUUAGUAUUUGUCCAACUUAUGAUUUAUUACCCUUGAUUCUUAUAGUAAAUCCUAAGAAUUUAUCUCUGUUAUUAUCUUGUAUAAUAUAUUUGUUAACAUCGAUUAAAGCAAGUUAAAGGCCAUGGUUUCGUUUUAUCAUGUUGAGGUUUUAUCUCUUCAUAAGUCUGAGUAUGCCGAUUAAUCUCCGGCUUAAGGACUUGGUUAGCCUGAAACUAGAUCAUUGUAAGUCCAGUAAGACUCAUGGGGGCAGACAAUCAAUCUUUUGGUAAUCCGUCCUACAUAAUGACUUGCCAAAAAUUUGUACUAUCCAACAUGCGUGAUAUUAGUUGAGUAACUUCCAAGGCCAAUUUAAUUUCUGAAUUAUUGUUAACCGUUAUAUUAUCUAGAUAAUCACUGCCUUAAUUUCUUUAUAUUUACGAGAAUCAUAGUUAAUUUUUCAUUAGUUUGAUAAUCUUUGUUAAAGUUAUUCUUAGUGCUUAGCUUAUCCUUGACGUUCUUUCAUUCCUAAAAAAAACUACUUGUUCUCAUGAAUAGCAACAAUAUUGUAAAAUCUGUUAAUUGUUCUAUAAUUAAAGAAGAUAUGUGUUUACAAAAUUGGUCCAUCCCUAAAGAACUGAUUAAUAAGAUUUACCAAAUAGGUAAUUUUAAUUUGUUUUAAAGUUUUAAUAUAAAAACAUGUGAAUCUACAUCUGCAAUUAUUAACUCUUUAGAGACUAUUAAAUUGUUGAUUGCUGCUGACAUAGAUAGGUAUAGAAAAGAAUUUAAAUUUCUUCAUAUUGGUCUUGUUCAGGUAGCUGUUAAACCCCUUUUCCGUAAAGCCCUAAAUAUUCCUAUUUUUUUAAUGCUUAGAGAUGCUAGACUUCUCAAUGUUGAUGAUUCGUUGCUAGGAAUCUUAGAAAGUAAUCUUGCUCUGGGACCGGUUUACUUCAAUUGUUAUCCUAAUUUCUUUGUAGAGAUAAAAGAUCAAAAAUGUUCGCAGAAAAUAGAAAGUAUAAUUAGAAGAAAAAUUAAAGGAACUUACAAAAGUAAACCUUUAUUCCAAGAUAUAUUGCAUAAUGUUUACAAAGAGGGAGAACAUUCAAGAAAAAAUUGUAUUCGAAAAAUUUCUGAUGCUCUUAAUGUGAAGAUACAAAGUUUUAUAUAGACUUGAAAGGAUAAGGGAAAUCUCAGAGCACUUCGUCUGAUUGGCUGUUGAUUUCCGUCCGUUGCUUUUGAUAAAGCAAAGUAUUUUAUUUUCUUUCGAGAAGCACCUUCAUCUUUAUCUUUUUGAUGAAGCUAUGUCUGACACUUUGUCGGCCAUAAUUGCAUAUAAUGCUUUGAUUGAUCAUGAUUCGCAGGUCCUGACAGAUUCCACUUAAUAAUUUAAUUAAAAGGAAAUUUCGUCUCUUUGAGACUCUUCCUUUUCUUUGUAGAUAAUUCCAGAUCAAUGAGCCUCUAUCUGAAAGAAUAGUUAUUCCAGAUUUUGAUACCCUCAGCUAGUGAUUAAUAAUAAAAUGGAUCUAAAUAGGACAAUUCAAAAACUUUAGGUUUUAACAUGUCUCCAUUAUCAUUACUUUGAGAGGAUGAAGCUUCUUCAAGGAUCUUCAUUAUAGGUUGUUCAUUAUAUUCAGACUCUAAGUCGGACAAGGCCUUUUGUAGUCUUAUCUUUAGUUCAUUCCUAGAUAAAGACUUCUGGGAGAUCUUCUAGAUAUUGAUUGGUUAAUGAUUGCAGCUUCCUUUAGAGCCAGAGACCAUCCUUUAAUCAAGAAUUCUCUUGACAUAUACUUGAUCAUGUCAAAUUAUUUAAUACAGAAAGUCCAACUAAUAAUAUAAGAAAUUCUUUUUUGAAUAAAAUAUUUACACAAUUUUAUGUUUAUGGGAGAGAAGAUAUGUCUUGAUCUAGCUGAAACCGACUGAAUUUGUCAGCAAUGUUUUUUGGAAAAACUUGUAUAUUUCUGCCAAAACAGUUCCACCAUUCGUAAAGCCAUAUAGGGAUGACUCUCUUGGUCACUUCUGGACUAUUUUGGACAAACCACGUGUGACUAGUUGGCCUAAGGUAGAGGAAGUUGAACCAGGCUGAUAUGUAGUCAUGUCAAUUGAAUGUUUGAGGUCUGUGUUCCCUCGAUAGAUUAAUAGGGGUGUGCAAGUGCUCUAAGUGCCACUCAAAAGGAGAUAAAAUUUUCUUGAUAGUCAAUUUAGAGUAAGCGAUACUAUCACGAUCAGAGUUAUUACCCAUUUGUGUUCAACUUCAAUUGAACCGGUAUCAACAAAACUCAAAGUAUUUUCUUGUUUUUAGUGGAUUAUCUGUAUCCACAUAAUUUCUAUUAGAAAAUAGAGGUUUCACAAGAUGCUUUACUUCAAAAUUCUCAUAUUCUUUGUCAAUGGCUAAUAUUGGGGAGACCUGCAAAGAGAUGAUUUCAAUGAUUUCUCUUACCUUUGGAGUUUUGUCGGUAGUUGAAGUACUAGUAGGUGCAACCGCCUCUUUGAAGCUCUAUGGAACUUUCAUGGUGUAAGAGUCUUUGGUUUGGGGGUUAAGAGUAUCUGGGUACUCCUGAUGGUGAGUGCUAACAAGGUUCGACGAUUGGUUAAAAAGUUUUAUUAGAGAUUGGAGGCAAAGGAGGAAAAUGUGUUAUUGAAAAGACUUGGUUUAUAGGUGGUAAGUUUGCCAAAGCUGAGUAUUUAUUCUGGUAACUCGAUGAUGUCCUGAUAGCAAAUGGUUUUGCUGAAGAUUUUCCUUCAGGACUUUUUCCCUUAUUCUUAAAGGGGCUCCCCGUUAUGGCUCUUGAAGAGGGACUUAUGAUGAUUUUCCCUGCAAGAAUUCUCGCGUUAGAAAAUCUUGUAAAGAAUUAUUUUCACCUUUAAUAAAUUCGAUUUGGAAAUCAAAGUUGGCUAAUAAGGCCUUCCAUCUGGCACAAAUCCAUUUAGAAACAAUAUUCUUAAUAUCCUUUUUAGGAUUUCUUUAGCAGAUUUACAAUCUACUCUAAGCAAGAAUUCUUUAUUGAUCAAGUCAUCUUGAAACUUAGUUAUACAAAGAACAAUAGCUAGGAUUUAUUUUUUGGUCGUGCUGUAAUUUCUUUGAGAAGAAUUCCAGAUUUCAGAAGUAUAAUAGACUAAUUGUUCUGAAGAAUUGGGGUCUUUUCUUUGUUUAUGAAUACCACCAUAUCCAAUAUCAGAAGAAUCAGUCUCAAUAAUCAUGAAAUAGUCAGGGUUAGAAAUACCAAGGCAAGGAAGAUCUUUAACCAUAUUCUUCAGAAGAAUAACUGCAUUGGUUUGUUCAUCACUCCAGGGUGAAGGAUUCUUCUUUAACCUAUCAAAGAGAGGUUUGAAAAUGUGCCUAACUUUGCGAAUAAAAUCAGCUACACAGUUGAGACUCCCUAAAAAUCUUUGCAACUGAGUUUUAUCUAAAAUGACAUUGGGAAAUUUAUCAGAAAACUUAAUUGAUCUGCAAAUAGGUUUAUAGUUACCUUGAUAAAGAUCAUGUCCUAAAAAUCUGAUUUUUGUUUGAAAUAUUUUAAUGUUUUUAGCACUAAUGACUAAUCCAUUGUGCUUAACAAUUUUAAAGAAAACAUUUAAAUGUUUGAAAUGAGAAUCAACGUCUUCGGAAAAGAUUAAUACAUCAUCAAUAUAAACAAUACAAAUAUGACUAAUAUGGUUGAAUAUAUAAUUCAUAAUAUUUUGAAAUUCCGAUGGGGCAUUUUUAAGCCCAAAAGGCAUGACAUUCCAUUAAUAUUGCCCAAACAGGACAUGGAAAGUUGUUUUGUAAUUAUCUUGUUCAGCUAUUUAUAUUUGCCAAAAUCCUGAUUUUAAAUAAAAUUUACGAUAAACAUUAGCUUUAAAAGUUCGUUUUAAAAGAUCCCUUUUGUCAGGGAUCGAAUAACGAAUCCACUUUAAAACUGAGUUUAGGGUUUGUAAUUAAUAACAAGUCUUGGGGAACCUCGUUCUUGUUCACCUGCAUUGUUAACAUAAAAUGCUGAACAACUCCAAGGUGAUUUUGAGGGACGAAUAAUUUUAUUAUUCAAAAGAGUAUGAAUUUCCAUUUUACAUAUUUUCCUUAAAUCAUGGUUCAUCUGAAUAGGCCUAUCUUUUGUAGAGAUUGCAUUUUCAUUAAAUCCAUCAAUAUAUGGUAAAUCAGUUUUAUUGGAUUUUCGAUCCCAAAAUGCGUUUGGAAAUCCUGAGCAAAUUUCAUUCUCAAAAUUCUUUUGAAGAUUGGCAAUUUUAGCAACCAUUUUCUGGGUUUUUAAAAUUUGCUCAAUUUUCUUAAUUUUAAUAUCCUCUUUUAAAAAACAAAUCUGAUUGAUUUUAAAUGCUGUUUGUUUAUGCAAAAAUUUACUUUCUUCAAGAGAAAGUGUCUUGAUAAAAGGAAAGGAAAUUUCUUUUCCUAAAAUUUUUGUUUUGAUUCAUUCAAAAUCUGAAAUAUUAGGUUUGAUUUGGGUAGUAAAAGGUAUACCCAAAACAAUUUCCUCAUUAAUGUUUUUAUUUAUAACAAAAUCAUUAGCAAGGCAAAUACCGUCAUUGCAGAUAUGAGCAUUUGAUAGAUUAUAAUUUCUACAGAUACAUUCACCAGUCGCGCUGUAUAACGUGGUAGUUCCCUUUUGGAGGUACUUGGUUGGGAUUAGAUCUUCAAUAAUGCAAUUACGAUCUGCACCACUGUCUAACAAAGCAAUUUUGUUAAGCAAAAAAUUAGAAUUGACUACUAACUUAAUCAUAAUGUGAGAACUCUGAGGUCUCACCUUUGUGAUCAUACUAAUACCUGCAUCUUCAAUACCUUUAGGUGAUGAAGGGGCUGAUUGAUCGGAAGAGUUGUUUGCUUCAUUUUCAUUAUCUGAUGUAGCAAUCUCUUUUCCUUUAAGAGAUACUUCAGCAUCCUUAAGAAAUUGUUUUUCUAAAGCAUCAAUUUCAAUUUUGUUAAGUCUUGACUUAAAUUCUCGAACUUCUUCUUUGAGGAAGUUAACCUCUACUCGAAGAUCAUUGAUACAAGGUUCUUCCCUCUUAUCCGUAUAUUUUGCAUGAUUUGUUUAAUGCUGAAAGGAAUUACAUUUCUUGUAACUUUUUUUUAUGUUUAGUGACAAGCUUUUGGAUGCUCCAAAAGAUAGCUUCUUCUGGCAUCAUCAUCUUUGAUAUGUUCAAUAGUUGCAAAUAAGAUUUAUGUAGAGUCUUCAAAGGGAACUCUGACAGAUUGGCUAUCACAAUGACAAAAUGCUCCUUGGCAGUUGCAUUCAUGUCCACUAUCUUUAGUACUAUCUUGAGCAACAUUGAGGAACUACUCGUCUUCAGGUUCUUCUUCUUCUGAAGAGGAAGACGAAUCUGAUUCUUCUUCGUUUAAUAUAGGCAGAAACUUUUCUUUAGUUUCUUCAUCUACUUCGACAAGAUUGAAUUUCUUCCUUUUUCUCUUGUUGGACAAUCACGAGACUGGGGUCCGUACUUUCCACAAAUCCAACAUUUGUCUUCGUUAGAUGUGUUGCGAGAAGUUUUCUUACUUCUCUUUCCCUUACAAUAUCCUUUUUCAUUUGAGGAUCUUCUCUUAGGUGUCGAUUUUCCAGAUCGUUCUUUCUUUGAAACUCUUUUUGCAGAAGGGGAUUUAGACUUGGGAAACCAAAGUCUUGACAAAAACUACCAAGUUCGUUACUUGAAAAUUUUUUAUCUUUCUUAAGCUGUUCCUUUAGCUUUAAAUAAGUACAUAGCUCCAUUGCUACGAAAUGAAUCAAACUGGUAAGAUCUCCAUAGAUCAUUUCUGAAUAUGGAAUUUUACCUUCACAUCAAUUUUUUAUUUUUGAUCGAGCUUUUUCUGCAAAAUGGGGAGGUAAUCCACUUAGGAAUUUCUCAUUCCAAUUAUCAUUGUUGCAGUCAUCUCUAAGCAUAACCUUUGUAAUAAACAUAUCUUUAUACCAUCUAAAAUCUGUCAAUUUCUUGCAGUAAGGAUUGUUUAAUAUUUCCAAACUUCUUUCUUGAAAUAAUCGUGGUGCUCCCACGAAAUGUUUAGCAAUGCUGUAAAGUAGGGUUGCAGUUGCAUCCUCAACUACCUCUAAAGAAGAAGUAGUUUGACCUCCUUCUGUCUUAACAACAUUCUUGCUUGCAACAACAUCAAGGGUCUCAUUUUUAUUUUGUUCUGUGAGAUAAUUGUCCCACCAAUUUUUAGAGUAAAUGUAAUUCCUGCAACUAUCCUAUUAGCUGCUUGCUAAUCGGUGGAACUGUUCCAUUUAGAGGUUGUGAUAUUCAUUCUCAUCUCUUGGAUUUUGUUAUAGAUUUGACUAUCAGCCAUACCGUCUAUAUUCCAUUCUGUUAUCCCUGUACCAUCUGCAACACUCUGGGGAUGCAUAUUGUUAUCUUCGAACUGGAUAUCAGUAAAAGAAGGUUUGGGAUAAAAGUUUUUGUAGUGAGGAAGUCUAUCUUUAAUAGCUCCGACCUUAUCACCAUGACAAAUCUUAAUCCUUUUAAGUUGCUCACUAAUUCUUUCUAGGAAUUCUGGAGAGUUUUUUAAGUCAUUAGCUGGUUUAGGGAAAUCAUCUAGGGCAAAUUUAUGGAUUUUAAAGAUAGGAUUAGUCUCUAAGUUGAAACCUGAUUUGGAAGAACUAGGUUUGUUACCAAUAUGGCUGUUACCACUGUAAUUCUACUUUGAGUCCUCAAUUUAUUUGGAAACAACAUGAAGAACCUGGUUAGUAUUAUUAUUUUGUUCAAAGACUUUGUUUAUUUCUUCAGUAGUCACAAAGUUGUUUUCUUUAUGCUCGGAAGGUUUUUUGAAAGGCGCUGCUUUCAAAACAACUUUUCUAUAAGGGAUGUUUAUACCUUCAAGAGGAGGAGUAACACUUUCGACAACCUUGGCUUUGAUAUGCCAUCUGUUAACUAAAAACUGAAGUGAUGAAUUGGAUUCACCGAUUUCGCCUGUAGAUUCAAACCAUUUGAAGAAUUCAAUUUCUAUUUUGAAUCUCUUCAUAUCCUUAAACCAGUUGUCUUUGAACAAGACUCUCUGAUCCCUUGUGUAUGUAUCAACAUACCAAGCUUUCUUUAAAGCAUGCUUAGGGAUCAUCCACCACUUAUAAUCUUUUUUGUGUCAGGAAUAAAUUUGUCGAAUGAAUUAAUAACUCCUAUAGAAUCCUUUUUUCGUAUGAGAAGGAUCUUUCAUUUCACUAGGAGUAGGACUUCCUACUAAAGAAGAAUCAUAAUAAAUCUUGAGGAUGGUUUGGGUGAAAUCUACCCCGCAGAAUUUACCCUUUUGUUCUGAAACCUCAAUGGUUUCAUAUAAACCGCGAUUAUUUCAAGACAGAUGUUUGGAAAUAUUAAACAAUCUUUAAUGCAAGAAAUGGACAGAUUUCAGAUGGUAUAAAGAUAUGUUUAUUACAAAGGUCAUUCUUAGAGAUGACUGCAACAAUGAUUAUUUGAAAGAGAGAUUCCUUUGUGGAUUACCUCCCCAUUUUGCAAAAAAGGUUCGAUCAAAAAUAACAUAUUGAUGUGAAGGUGAAAUUCCAUAUUAAGAAAUGACUUAAGGAGAUCUUAACAGUUUGAUUCAUUUCGUAGCAAUGGAGACAUGUCCUGAUUUAAAGCUAAAGGAACAGCUUAUGAAAGAUCAAAAAUUUUCAAGUAACGAACUUGGUAGAUUCUUUCAAGACUUUGGUUUCCCAAGUCUAAAACCCCCUUCUGCAAAAAGGGUUUCAAAGAAAGAACAAUCUGGAAAAUCCACAACUAAGAGAAGAUCCUCAAAAGAAAAAGGAUUUUCAAAAGGAAAGAGAAGUAAGAAAAUUUCUCACAACACAUCUAACGAAGUUAAAUGUUGGACUUGUGGAAAGUCUGGACACAAGUCUCCUGAUUUUCCUAGAAACAAGAAAAAAAGGAAGAAAAUCAAUAUUCUUGAAGUAGAUGAAGAAACUAAAGAAAAGUUUCUGUCUAUAUUAAACUAAGAAGAAUCAUUCGUCUUCCUCUUCAGAAGAAGAAGAAACUGAAGACGAGGAGUUCCUCAAUGUUUCUCAAGAUAGUACUCAAGAUAAUGGACAUUAAUGCAAUUGCCAAGGAGCAUUUUGUCAUUGUGAUAGCCAAUCUGUCAGAGUUCUCGCUGAAGACUCUACAGAAAUCUUAUUUGCAACUAAUGAACAUAUAAAAAAUGAUGAUGCCAGAAGAAGCUAUCUUUUGGAGCUUCAAAAGCUUGUCACUAAACAAAAAGAAAAAGAAGUUACAAGAAAUGUAAUUCCAUUCAGCAUGAAACAAAUAACGCAAAAAUGUACGGAUAAGAGGGAAGAACCUUCUAUCAAUAAUCUUCGAGCAGAGGUUAACUCCCUCAAAGAAGAAGUUCGAGAAGUUAAGUCAAGACUUAAAAAAAAUUUAAAUUGAUGCUUUAGAAAAACAAUUUCUUAAGGACGCUGAAGUAUCUCUUAAAGGAAAAGAGAUUGCUACUUCAGAUAACGAAGAUGAAGAAAACAACUCUUCCGAUCAAUCAACCUUUUCAUCACCUAAAGGUAUUGAAGAUGCAGGUAUUAGUAUGAUCACUAAGCUGAGACCUCAGAGUUCUCACAUUAUGAUUAAGUUAGUAGUCAAUUCUAAUUUUGUAAUUAAAAAAAUUCCUUUGUUAGAUAGUGGUGUAGAUCGUAAUUGCAUUGUUGAAGGCCUAAUCCCAACCAAGUACCUCCAAAAGGGUACUACCAACUUAUAAAGCGCGACUGAUGAGCAUAUCUGUAUAAAUAAUAAACUAUCAAAUUCUUAUAUCUGCAAUGACGGUAUUUGCCUUGCUAAUGAUUUUGUUAUAAGUAAAAACAUUAAUGAGGAAAUAAUUUUGGGUAUACCUUGUAUUACCCAAAUCAAACAUUAUAUUUCAGAUUUUGAAUCAAUCAAAACAAAAGUUUUAGUAAAAGAAAUUUCCUUUCCUUUUAUCAAGACACUUUCUCUUGAAGAAAGUAAAUUUUUGCAUAAAAAAACUGCAUUUAAAAUCAAUCAGAUUUGUUUUUUAAAAGAGGAUAUUAAAAUUAAGAAAAUUGAGCAAAUUUUAAAAACCCCGAGAAUGGUUGCUAAAAUUUCCAAUCUUCAAAAAAAUUUGAAAAUUAAAUUUGCUAAGAAUUUCCAAACGCAUUUUGGGAUCGAAAAUCCCAUAUUAUUGAUUUACCAUAUAUUGAUGGAUUUAAUGAAAAGGACAUCUCUACAAAAACUAGGCCUAUUCUGAUGUACCAUGAUUUAAUGGAAAUCUGUAAAAAGGAAAUUCAUACUCUUUUGAAUAGUAAAAUUAUUCAUCCCUCAAAAACCACCUUGGUGUUGUUCAGCAUUUUAUGUUAACAAUGCAGCUGAACAAACCCUUAAACUCAGUUUUAAAGUGGAUUUGUUAUCCGAUCCCUAUCAAAAGGGAUCUUUUAAAACGGACUUUUAAAGCUAAUGAUUAUAUUAAAUUUGAUUUAAAAUCAGGAUGUUGGCUAAUUCAAAUAGCUGAACAAGAUAAAUAUAAAACAGCUUUCAAUGUCCCGUUUGGAUAAUAUGAAUGGAAUGUCAUGCCUUUUGGGCUUAAAAAUGCCCCAUCGGAAUUUCCUUUUGAUUAAUUUAUUAAGUGGACUCUAUCAGGACCCGCGUAGCAUGGUCAAUCAAAGAAUUAUCUGCAAUUAUGGGCGACAAAGUGGCAGACAUAGCUUUAUCAAAAGAUAAAGAUGAAGGUGCUUUUCGAAAGAAAACAAAAUGCUUUGCUUUAUCAAAAGCAACGGAGGGAAAUCAACAGCCAAUCAACAGAAGAGCUCUUACAUUUCCCUUAUCCUUUCAUGUCUAUAUAAGACUUUGUAUCUUCACAUUAAGAGCAUCAUAAAUUUUAUGAAUACAAAAUUUUCUUAAACGCUCUCCCUCUCUGUAAACAUUAAGCAAUAUAUCUUGGAA
RNAcentral lists this long non-coding RNA (10056 nucleotides) under Solanum lycopersicum (tomato). RNAcentral describes it as "long non-coding RNA (SLYC_LNC000181)". Lineage: Eukaryota; Viridiplantae; Streptophyta; Magnoliopsida; Solanales; Solanaceae. The record is from RNAcentral.